GCCUUCGUGGUGUAGUUGUCAGCACACUCGGCGCGUAUUCGAGAGGUCCGUGGUUCGAGUCCCGGCGAGGGCA
This 73-nucleotide transfer RNA is filed under the name Stegodyphus mimosarum. It matches the Rfam family "tRNA". From Rfam's summary of the family: Transfer RNA (tRNA) molecules are approximately 80 nucleotides in length. Their secondary structure includes four short double-helical elements and three loops (D, anti-codon, and T loops). Lineage: Eukaryota; Metazoa; Arthropoda; Arachnida; Araneae; Eresidae. The record is from Rfam by way of RNAcentral.